RNAcentral lists this ribosomal RNA (419 nucleotides) under uncultured bacterium. Its description in RNAcentral is "bacterial SSU rRNA". It matches the Rfam family "Bacterial small subunit ribosomal RNA", at positions 355 to 774 of the family's 1533-position model. The record is from RNAcentral.
UGAGGAAUAUUGGGCAAUGGGCGCAAGCCUGAUGCAGCGACGCCGCGUGUGGGAUGAAGGGGCUACGCCUCGUAAACCACUGUAGCCCGGGACGAAAAACGCCUUAGAGGCGUUAGACGGUACCGGGAAAGCAAGGGUCGGCUAACUACGUGCCAGCAGCCGCGGUCAUACGUAGGACCCAAGCGUUGUCCGGAUUUACUGGGUGUAAAGGGUGCGCAGGCGGAUGGGUAAGUCAGGGGUGAAAGUCUUCAGCUUAACUGUAGAAUUGCCUUAGAUACUGCUCAUCUUGAGAGUGGAAGAGGUUGAUGGAAUUCCAGGUGUAGCAGUGAAAUUCGUAGAUAUCUGGAAGAACACCAGUGACGAAGGCGGUAAACUGACCCAUAACUGACGCUCAUGCACGAAAGCGUGGGGAGCAAACA